CUUUCCCAGCUGUACCAAGCCACAGAAGAAGAUGCCGAGAUCCGCAUCACUGCCUACUACUUCUUUAUGAAAUGUCCCAGUGAAGAAGCAUUUGCCUUGGUGCGUGAAACUCAGGCAGCAGAGCAGUCUACCCAAGUGGGAGCCUUCGUCUGGAGUCACCUCUCUCAGCUGCUGGAGACUGAUGACCCCCUCAAACGUUCCCUUCGGGACUCCCUCCCCGAUGACAUCCUCAGCCAAGAAUUUGAAUCUGAGACCUGGAAACAUUCCUCCUAUUCAGAUUUCACCUUUCGCUCAGGCUCCAGCAGUAUGGGUGCAAAUCUGGAGGCUACUCUGCUAUUCUCCCCAGCCUCCUUCCUCCCCCGCUCCCUCAUGGCCAACCUGACCAUCCACGUCAUGGGCCGUGCUGUCAACAUUCUGGAGCUUGGACUCCGGUUAGAAAAUGCCGAAAAGCUGGCUUACAGGGUGUUUGGUAGGCCGCCAGCGAUGGCAGCAUUCUGGGACGAUGAUGAGAAAAGUGAUACUGACACAGAACUGGCAGAUGGAG
RNAcentral lists this long non-coding RNA (544 nucleotides) under Phascolarctos cinereus (koala). RNAcentral's name for it is "lncRNA (ENSPCIG00000004759.2)". Lineage: Eukaryota; Metazoa; Chordata; Mammalia; Diprotodontia; Phascolarctidae. The record is from RNAcentral.